CCUACGGGGGGCAGCAGUGAGGAAUAUUGGUCAAUGGGCGAGAGCCUGAACCAGCCAAGUCGCGUGAGGGAAGACGGUCCUAUGGAUUGUAAACCUCUUUUGCCGGGGAGCAAAAAGCGGUACGUGUACCGCAUCGAGAGUACCCGGAGAAAAAGCAUCGGCUAACUCCGUGCCAGCAGCCGCGGUAAUACGGAGGAUGCGAGCGUUAUCCGGAUUUAUUGGGUUUAAAGGGGGCGCAGGCGGCGAGUUAAGUCAGCGGUAAAAGUUCGGGGCUCAACCCCGACCAGCCGUUGAAACUGGCUUGCUAGAGUGGGCGAGAGGUAUGCGGAAUGCGUGGUGUAGCGGUGAAAUGCAUAGAUAUCGCGCAGAACUCCGAUUGCGAAGGCAGCGUACCGGCGCCCAACUGACGCUGAGGCACGAAAGCGUGGGUAUCGAACAGGAUUAGAUACCCUUGUAGUC
RNAcentral lists this ribosomal RNA (459 nucleotides) under uncultured bacterium. RNAcentral describes it as "partial 16S ribosomal RNA". It matches the Rfam family "Bacterial small subunit ribosomal RNA", at positions 338 to 795 of the family's 1533-position model. The record is from RNAcentral.